RNAcentral lists this ribosomal RNA (253 nucleotides) under uncultured bacterium. Its description in RNAcentral is "partial 16S ribosomal RNA". It matches the Rfam family "Bacterial small subunit ribosomal RNA", at positions 524 to 776 of the family's 1533-position model. The record is from RNAcentral.
UACGGGGGGGGCAAGCGUUGUUCGGAAUUACUGGGCGUAAAGGGCUCGUAGGCGGCCAACUAAGUCAGACGUGAAAUCCCUCGGCUUAACCGGGGAACUGCGUCUGAUACUGGAUGGCUUGAGGUUGGGAGAGGGAUGCGGAAUUCCAGGUGUAGCGGUGAAAUGCGUAGAUAUCUGGAGGAACACCGGUGGCGAAGGCGGCAUCCUGGACCAAAUCUGACGCUGAGGAGCGAAAGCCAGGGGAGCAAACAGG